This 404-nucleotide ribosomal RNA is filed under the name uncultured bacterium. RNAcentral's name for it is "bacterial SSU rRNA". It matches the Rfam family "Bacterial small subunit ribosomal RNA", at positions 355 to 776 of the family's 1533-position model. The record is from RNAcentral.
UGGGGAAUAUUGCACAAUGGGGGAAACCCUGAUGCAGCGACGCCGCGUGAGUGAAGAAGUAAUUCGUUAUGUAAAGCUCUAUCGGCAGGGAAGAAAAGAGACGGUACCUGACUAAGAAGCCCCGGCUAACUACGUGCCAGCAGCCGCGGUAAUACGUAUGGGGCAAGCGUUAUCCGGAUUUACUGGGUGUAAGGGGAGCGCAGACGGCACAGCAAGUCUGGAGUGAAAGCCCGCGGCUCAACCGCGGGACUGCUCUGGAAACUGUUGAGCUUGAGUGCAGGAGAGGCAGGCGGAAUUCCUAGUGUAGCGGUGAAAUGCGUAGAUAUUAGGAGGAACACCGUGGCGAAGGCGGCUUACUGGACCGUAACUGACGUUGAGGCUCGAAAGCGUGGGGAGCAAACAGG